CUCGCUGUCAAUCCGCCCUGACAAGCCCCCACAGGCUACCCAUGCCUUGUAUAGACAAACACACACACACACACACACACACACACACACACACACACACGUGCCGUGCAGGCUGGUAGACAUGCCCCACUCCACCCCCCCCUCCACCCCUCGCUGUCAAUUCGCCCUGACAAGCCCCCACAGGCUACCCAUGCCUUGUACAGACACACGAACGUGCCGCGCAGGCUGGCAGAAGUGCCCCACUCCAACCCUUUCUCCCCUCCUCGCUGCUAAUUCGCCCUCACAGGCCCCCACAGGCUACCCAUGCCUUGUACAGAUACACGAACGUGCCGCGCAGACUGGCAGACAUGCCCCCCUCCAUCCCCCCUCCCCCCCUCGCUGUCAAUUCGCCCUGACAAGCCCCCACAGGCUACCCAUGCCUUGUACAGACACACGAACGUGCCGCGCAGACUGGUAGACAUGCCCCACUCCAUCCCCCCUCCCCCCCUCGCUGUCAAUCCGCCCUGACAAGCCCCCACAGGCUACCCAUGCCUUGUACAGACACACGAACGUGCCGUGCAGGCUGAUAGACAUGCCCCCCUCCAUCCCCCCUCCCCCCCUCGCUGUCAAUCCGCCCUGACAAGCCCCCACAGGCUACCCAUGCUUUGUACAGACACACGAACGUGCCGCGCAGGCUGAUAGACAUGCCCCCCUCCAACCCUUUCUCCCCUCCUCGCUGCUAAUUCGCCCUCACAGGCCCCCACAGGCUACCCAUGCCCUGUACAGACACACGAACGUGCCGCGCAGACUGGUAGACAUGCCCCCCUCCAUCCCGCCUCCCCCCCUCGCUGUCAAUCCGCCCUGACAAGCCCCCACAGGCUACCCAUGCCUUGUACAGACACGUGAACGUGCCACGCAGGCUGGUAGACAUGCCCCACUCCAACCCUUUCUCCCCUCCUCGCUGCUAAUUCGCCCUCACAGGCCCCCACAGGCUACCCAUGCCUUGUACAGACACACGAUAGAACCGUGUAGACUGGUAGACAUGCCCCCCUCCAUCCCCCCUCCCCCCCUCGCUGUCAAUCCGCCCUGACAAGCCCCCACAGGCUACCCAUGCCUUGUACAGACACACGAACGUACCGCGCAGGCUGAUAGACAUGCCCCCCUCCAACCCUUUCUCCCCUCGUCACUGCUAAUUCGCCCUCACAGGCCCCCACAGGCUACCCAUGCCUUGUACAGACACACGAAAGAACCGUGUAGACUGGUAGCCAUGCCCGCCUCCAUCCACCCUCCCCCCCUCGCUGUCAAUCCGCCCUGACAAGCCCCCACAGGCUACCCAUGCCUUGUACAGAUACACGAACAUACCCUGCAGGCUGGUAGACAUGCCCCCCACCACCCAUUUCUCCCCUCCUCGCUGCCAAUUCACCCUCACAGGCCCCCACAGGCUACCCAUGCCUUGUACAGACACACGAAAGAACCGUGUAGACUGGUAGACAUGCCCCCCUCCAUCCCCCCUCCCCCCCUCGCUGUCAAUCCGCCCUGUCAAGCCCCCACAGGCUACCCAUGCCUUGUAUAGACAAACACACACACACACACACACACACACACACACAAACACACACACACACACGUGCCGUGCAGGCUGGUAGACAUGCCCCACUCCACCCCCCCCCCCUCCCCCCCUCGCUGUCAAUUCGCCCUGACAAGCCCCCACAGGCUACCCAUGCCUUGUACAGACACACGAACGUGCCGCGCAGGCUGGCAGAAGUGCCCCACUCCAACCCUUUCUCCCCUCCUCGCUGCUAAUUCGCCCUCACAGGCCCCCACAGGCUACCCAUGCCUUGUACAGACACACGAACGUGCCGUGCAGGCUGAUAGACAUGCCCCCUCCAUCCCCCCCCCCUCGCUGUCAAUCCGCCCUGACAAGCCCCCACAGGCUACCCAUGCUUUGUACAGACACACGAACGUGCCGCGCAGGCUGAUAGACAUGCCCCCCUCCAACCCUUUCUCCCCUCCCAAUGUCGGAUCGGAGCUCUCUUGAACGCAACGUAUGCACAUACACACGACAAUGAUACUGAUACACUGCACUUCAUGCCGGUGCCGCUGCAC
Molecule: long non-coding RNA, 2085 nt
Filed under: Chlamydomonas reinhardtii
Lineage: Eukaryota; Viridiplantae; Chlorophyta; Chlorophyceae; Chlamydomonadales; Chlamydomonadaceae
Description: long non-coding RNA (CREI_LNC000320)
Source: RNAcentral